GACGAACGCUGGCGGCGUGCUUAACACAUGCAAGUCGAACGGAAAGGCCCUGCUUUUGUGGGGUGCUCGAGUGGCGAACGGGUGAGUAACACGUGAGUAACCUGCCCUUGACUUUGGGAUAACUUCAGGAAACUGGGGCUAAUACCGGAUAGGAGCUCCUGCUGCAUGGUGGGGGUUGGAAAGUUUCGGCGGUUGGGGAUGGACUCGCGGCUUAUCAGCUUGUUGGUGGGGUAGUGGCUUACCAAGGCUUUGACGGGUAGCCGGCCUGAGAGGGUGACCGGGCACAUUGGGACUGAGAUACGGCGCAGACUCCUACGGGAGGCAGCAGUGGGGAAUAUUGCACAAUGGGCGGAAGCCUGAUGCAGCAACGCCGCGUGCGGGAUGACGGCCUUCGGGUUGUAAACCGCUUUCGCCUGUGACGAAGCGUGAGUGACGGUAAUGGGUAAAGAAGCACCGGCUAACUACGUG
Molecule: ribosomal RNA, 468 nt
Filed under: uncultured bacterium
Lineage: Bacteria
Description: partial 16S ribosomal RNA
Rfam family: Bacterial small subunit ribosomal RNA
Source: RNAcentral